UACGUAGGGGGCAAGCGUUAUCCGGAUUUACUGGGUGUAAAGGGAGCGCAGACGGCUCUGCAAGUCUGAAGUGAAAGCCCGCGGCUUAACCGCGGGACUGCUUUGGAAACUGCAAGGCUUGAGUAUCGGAGGGGCAGGCGGAAUUCCUAGUGUAGCGGUGAAAUGCGUAGAUAUUAGGAAGAACACCGGUGGCGAAGGCGGCCUGCUGGACGAAAACUGACGUUGAGGCUCGAAGGCGUGGGGAGCAAACAGG
This 253-nucleotide ribosomal RNA is filed under the name uncultured bacterium. RNAcentral's name for it is "partial 16S ribosomal RNA". It matches the Rfam family "Bacterial small subunit ribosomal RNA", at positions 524 to 776 of the family's 1533-position model. RNAcentral also lists the same sequence under 1 other name. The record is from RNAcentral.